AAUGGCAGGUCAGCAUACUGCCGUGAAUACGUUCCCGGGCCUUGUACACACCGCCCGUCACACCAUGAGAGUUGGGGAUACCCAAAGCCCGUGAGCCAACUAUAAAGAGGCAGCGGUCUAAGGUAGAAUCAAUGAUUGGGGUGAAGUCGUAACAAGGUAAC
This 161-nucleotide ribosomal RNA is filed under the name uncultured bacterium. RNAcentral's name for it is "partial 16S ribosomal RNA". It matches the Rfam family "Bacterial small subunit ribosomal RNA", at positions 1340 to 1500 of the family's 1533-position model. The record is from RNAcentral.